This 59-nucleotide transfer RNA is filed under the name Flabellotrichalus sp. A00162. Its description in RNAcentral is "tRNA-Leu". The record is from RNAcentral. RNAcentral also lists the same sequence under 3 other names. Lineage: Eukaryota; Metazoa; Arthropoda; Insecta; Coleoptera; Lycidae.
UGUGACAGAAUAGUGUGAUAAAUUUAAGAUUUAUUUAUAAAGUUCAUCUUUCUUUAGAA